CUUCUGUCUGAUGUUAACGAGGCUCAGCCAUCAUAACCAGGUGAAUGAAGUCUGACCUUGUUUUCCAGGAUUUUACCAUGGAAAAGAGCACACAUGUGGGAGUGAAAGCACCUUGCUGCAGUCCUGCCUCUGCCACUCAAUGUUGGGUCCAGGCAAGAAGCUCAACCUUCCAGAGCUUCAAAGUUUUCCAUUUACGGUGAUUUUAACCCAGGAGUAUUUUUCAGUAUCAUUUGUGGAGCUUUUUAAAAUGCACAACUCCAAGCCAGACCUGUGGAAUCAGAAUUUCCUGAGCUGUGGUGUAUUCCACCUUUGUUCUGACUCUCUCGAGGACCUGGCCCUAUCUGACUGCCAAUAAUAUUUCUACUGAACUCAUCUGUAUAUAAUACAUCCACUCUGAAACAUUCCAAGAUAGUCCAACUGGAGUAGAGAAUUAAUCUGACCUGUGUGGGACCUGGCUCCUGUCCCGGAAGGAACCACACAGGUGGCCAUGCCUCCCUGAGCUUGGACCAAGCUCUCCCUGUCACUGCCAGCUUGGAAUGCCUUUGCUCUUUGGAUGAUUAGAAGGUAUAGAUAAGCUGAAGUUAAUGAAUGAUGUUCACAUCAUUGCCCUAUGGGAUCAUAUGAGGUAAGUGACUAUACUUGUAACCCUAUAGAUUGAUUGUAGUUUGACCUGUGUUGUAGCCAUGUUGUGAUUUUGCUGUAAAAAGUACCCAUGACAAAGGGCCUCAGGGGCCACCCAUUUAGUAUCCCUCCAGGACACCCAGGAGGUGUUCUCCCUGUUCCUAUUUCCAGUAACACUCACCUGACCUAUUCCUUUGGUUUGGGACUUCAUUGCUCAAUGUUGUGAGACCACAAAGUUGGCAUAAUUGACAUCUAGCAAGUUGAGAGUUAGUUUUCCCAGCCACACUACCUCACUUUCAUUCAUGAGAUGCAAUUUAAAUGAAUAAAAUAAGUAGCUCUUUGUCUUAGCAGAACUGAUCCAAGUAGUUAAACUCUAGAUAGUUAAUUUGGGAGGUUAACCGUAGGGACAGGAGCAAAGGAUUGGUAAAAUAAGUCAGGGACAGGCAGACAGGCAGGCCUGUGCACGCCCUACCAAGGUCCCAAGUCACGCGGAACACACCAAAUCAGCCCGUGCCCUGGCAACAAUCCACUGGACACCCCCACCCCCACCCCGUACAGACACCUAGUUCCACACUACAAAGACGCAGAGGACACCAGACCACCAGACCAC
Molecule: long non-coding RNA, 1231 nt
Filed under: Heterocephalus glaber (naked mole-rat)
Lineage: Eukaryota; Metazoa; Chordata; Mammalia; Rodentia; Bathyergidae
Description: lncRNA (ENSHGLG00000041043.1)
Source: RNAcentral